This is a long non-coding RNA of Oreochromis aureus, 263 nucleotides long. RefSeq lists it as uncharacterized. The record is from RefSeq and is a predicted model, not a curated record. NCBI's taxonomy places the organism in Eukaryota, Metazoa, Chordata, Actinopteri, Cichliformes, Cichlidae. The transcript has 3 exons.
GAUACUUGUUGCAAACUAUAAUGUGAUAUUAAAAAAUCAAUUCAAUUUUAAUUUUAUUUUCAGCUGGCUUCCUUUUAUACUCUACCUGAUUCAGCUCAUAAGCAGGUGAUUGAGCUGCUUUUACCAGUUUGCACCACAUCCUGUGACAGAAACAACCAGGAUAAGGUAGGACGGCCAGUCCCCCUCUGUCUCUUCGCCUUCCACAAACAGUCACUUAAAUAGUAACCCAAAUGUCAAACCUGAUAAACCUAAUAAAGAAUCAC